This 2112-nucleotide ribosomal RNA is filed under the name Escherichia coli. Its description in RNAcentral is "bacterial LSU rRNA". It matches the Rfam family "Bacterial large subunit ribosomal RNA", at positions 1 to 2140 of the family's 2925-position model. Lineage: Bacteria; Pseudomonadati; Pseudomonadota; Gammaproteobacteria; Enterobacterales; Enterobacteriaceae. The record is from RNAcentral.
UUAAGCGACUAAGCGUACACGGUGGAUGCCCUGGCAGUCAGAGGCGAUGAAGGACGUGCUAAUCUGCGAUAAGCGUCGGUGAGGUGAUAUGAACCGUUAUAACCGGCGAUUUCCGAAUGGGGAAACCCAGUGUGUUUCGACACACUAUCAUUAACUGAAUCCAUAGGUUAAUGAGGCGAACCGGGGGAACUGAAACAUCUAAGUACCCCGAGGAAAAGAAAUCAACCGAGAUUCCCCCAGUAGCGGCGAGCGAACGGGGAGGAGCCCAGAGCCUGAAUCAGUGUGUGUGUUAGUGGAAGCGUCUGGAAAGGCGCGCGAUACAGGGUGACAGCCCCGUACACAAAAAUGCACAUAUUGUGAGCUCGAUGAGUAGGGCGGGACACGUGGUAUCCUGUCUGAAUAUGGGGGGACCAUCCUCCAAGGCUAAAUACUCCUGACUGACCGAUAGUGAACCAGUACCGUGAGGGAAAGGCGAAAAGAACCCCGGCGAGGGGAGUGAAAAAGAACCUGAAACCGUGUACGUACAAGCAGUGGGAGCCUCUUAAUGGGGUGACUGCGUACCUUUUGUAUAAUGGGUCAGCGACUUAUAUUCUGUAGCAAGGUUAACCGAAUAGGGGAGCCGAAGGGAAACCGAGUCUUAACUGGGCGUUAAGUUGCAGGGUAUAGACCCGAAACCCGGUGAUCUAGCCAUGGGCAGGUUGAAGGUUGGGUAACACUAACUGGAGGACCGAACCGACUAAUGUUGAAAAAUUAGCGGAUGACUUGUGGCUGGGGGUGAAAGGCCAAUCAAACCGGGAGAUAGCUGGUUCUCCCCGAAAGCUAUUUAGGUAGCGCCUCGUGAAUUCAUCUCCGGGGGUAGAGCACUGUUUCGGCAAGGGGGUCAUCCCGACUUACCAACCCGAUGCAAACUGCGAAUACCGGAGAAUGUUAUCACGGGAGACACACGGCGGGUGCUAACGUCCGUCGUGAAGAGGGAAACAACCCAGACCGCCAGCUAAGGUCCCAAAGUCAUGGUUAAGUGGGAAACGAUGUGGGAAGGCCCAGACAGCCAGGAUGUUGGCUUAGAAGCAGCCAUCAUUUAAAGAAAGCGUAAUAGCUCACUGGUCGAGUCGGCCUGCGCGGAAGAUGUAACGGGGCUAAACCAUGCACCGAAGCUGCGGCAGCGACACUAUGUGUUGUUGGGUAGGGGAGCGUUCUGUAAGCCUGUGAAGGUGGCCUGUGAGGGUUGCUGGAGGUAUCAGAAGUGCGAAUGCUGACAUAAGUAACGAUAAAGCGGGUGAAAAGCCCGCUCGCCGGAAGACCAAGGGUUCCUGUCCAACGUUAAUCGGGGCAGGGUGAGUCGACCCCUAAGGCGAGGCCGAAAGGCGUAGUCGAUGGGAAACAGGUUAAUAUUCCUGUACUUGGUGUUACUGCGAAGGGGGGACGGAGAAGGCUAUGUUGGCCGGGCGACGGUUGUCCCGGUUUAAGCGUGUAGGCUGGUUUUCCAGGCAAAUCCGGAAAACCAAGGCUGAGGCGUGAUGACGAGGCACUACGGUGCUGAAGCGACAAAUGCCCUGCUUCCAGGAAAAGCCUCUAAGCAUCAGGUAACAUCAAAUCGUACCCCAAACCGACACAGGUGGUCAGGUAGAGAAUACCAAGGCGCUUGAGAGAACUCGGGUGAAGGAACUAGGCAAAAUGGUGCCGUAACUUCGGGAGAAGGCACGCUGAUAUGUAGGUGAAGCGACUUGCUCGUGGAGCUGAAAUCAGUCGAAGAUACCAGCUGGCUGCAACUGUUUAUUAAAAACACAGCACUGUGCAAACACGAAAGUGGACGUAUACGGUGUGACGCCUGCCCGGUGCCGGAAGGUUAAUUGAUGGGGUUAGCGGUAACGCGAAGCUCUUGAUCGAAGCCCCGGUAAACGGCGGCCGUAACUAUAACGGUCCUAAGGUAGCGAAAUUCCUUGUCGGGUAAGUUCCGACCUGCACGAAUGGCGUAAUGAUGGCCAGGCUGUCUCCACCCGAGACUCAGUGAAAUUGAACUCGCUGUGAAGAUGCAGUGUACCCGCGGCAAGACGGAAAGACCCCGUGAACCUUUACUAUAGCUUGACACUGAACAUUGAGCCUUGAUGUGUA